GUUUGCACUGGCCUGUGACUCAGCCUGUCCAGGUCCCUCUGGAUGGCAUCCCUGCACCAACAGUGGAUGUCUGUCUUUGAGAAGUAUCACCUUCCAUCCCUUCAGCAGCCAAAUUUUGGCAGAGGUGUGGGGCCACGAGCAGGGCAGGGUAGAUGGAGCCAGGAAACCUCUGUCAGAAGAGAUUAGUGCCAAAAUGCACUUUGGUUCAGCUUCUGAAAAGCAUUCAGCAACAUUUUUCCUUCUUCAGCCACCACCAGAGAUGCCUUCAAAGCCACUGCUCGAACGCUAACACUGUAGGCACCCAACUUCCUGCUGCUGGGCAAAUGCAAAGCAAAAAAGUCCUACUGAAAAGAGGUACUUACUUCCCUAACCUCACCCCAAGCCUGAGGGCAGAUAUCUUACCUCAGGUGCUGCUUAUUCUGGCAGUGAGCCCUUGCCCUGGGAUGGACAGAGAUACUGAUUUCUCUCACUCCAGACUAGCUCUCAAGGUGACAGUGCUCAUGGAGAUCUGGGGUAUCAAGAACCAAAUCCCUGCUCUUCCAACAGAGUAUUUUGGGGUGGAGCAAUCUCAAACUGCUAUUCAUGCACCAUACAUAAUGACUGAAUAUUCACUGGCGGAGAAACAGUCCCUGAUUUGAAGCACUGAUUUAACUCAAACCUCGCCCCCCAGAUCAGGCACAUCACUGGACAACAGAAUACAUGGUAUCUCCUGUUGAUUUUUUUUCAGGUUCUAUAAAAUAUGCCCAGGCUAGAGCUUUUAUGACUUUAGGUAGAAGAAAAAUGUGAAUACGAACUUUCCCAAGUUCAGGGAGUGUUCAUACCAUGGGGUGCAAGAGCAGGUGACCUCUCCUGGCCCCUGCGGGGGUCUGUGUGGGGCAGGCUGCCUGCUGCUCUGAUGGGUCCCUGCAAGCCAUGCAGCCAGCAAGUUAUGCGCGGGUUUCAGGCAUGGGGCAACCUUGAGCUGUCAGAAGUUGAGCAGAGAAAUGCAAGUGCCUGUGGUAUCUGACAGUCAUUAAACCCAGGUUUAAUGAAAAAUCUGCAUGCUACACAGAGUGAACCGCCUUUGUCCAAGUGCUUUGUGUCAAAACCCGCCCCCCCAACUCCUCAAAACCCUGGGCUGGAAGGAGACAGACACAAGCUCGACUUCCAGCCAGUGAUCCACUAGGAGGAGCAGGAGGGCAGCGGGUUGCACGCCGAUUACUGGGAUGGCUGUCGGCCACCUAUUGAUUAAGGGACAGGAGUCAGACCGAGAGUGGUCAAGGAAGGGAUAAACUGACUCACCCAGAGCUUGUUGCCGCUGCUUUAUCUGCACUAGCUUUUGGUUUCUACAGUACACUCGAGUCCUGAGCUACUUCUAGGCCUUACUGCAAAGCAAAUAAUAGAGUCCACCCAAAUCUACUUGGUCUUGCCACCAUUGCACUGGACACUGCUGUGCUCACACACCCUUCAGCCAGCUUGAAGUUCACCUAGAAUAUUUUCUUUGUACCUGUGUAACACCUUCUUCAAAUCCUUUAAUGACUUCUUGCCUGCCAAUCUUGAACCUGAAAGGCUUGUUUCUGUCUCUGGAGGAAUCAAACUUCUUUCCAUUCUGUAGCAUUCCUGCCAAAACAAGACACACAGUUUCAACCUGAGCUACAUGUAAAUUUAAGUGCUGGGGGGGGGGGAAGGAAGGAGUGAAAAAUUAAUGUCUUGGUCACAUCAGCGGCUCAUUUCCAUUUUCAGUUUGAAGCCUCAUCCAGAAUGGAUAAGGCAGGAGGAGAGCCAAACACAAAUAUGGUACCAAAAGGUACCAUAUUGUUACCUUUGCCUUCUGGUAAUUUAGGUUCUAAAAUGGAAAUAUAUUCUUCUUAUUAUUCUUAAUGCAAUCGGUUAUAACUCAUAUAGUACCAAACAUUAUACAGACACACUGAAGAGCUGUUGCUUGCACAGUGGAGCUUCCUGGCCCAGCAGAUAAAAGCAGGCAAGGAGCAAGUGGGAAGCAGCCGAAGAGAGAAUCUCAACACAGGGGCCUGAUCCAGGCCUGCUCCUAAACAUAAAAAAGCUCCCUAAAACCAGCCUACAAAGAAACCAAAUUUAACAUAAAUACGACUAGGCUUACUCCUCAUUAAAUACUUCUAUUUUAAGGUAUUUUUAACAGUGCAACUAACUAAAGAGAAUAGUUGUUGUGGAAAACAUGUUGAGUGACCAAGGAGACUUUGGCUAUAUGUGGCCCAAAGCUCACUGCAGCCAGCAGGAGCUUUCCACACGCUUCCACAGGUUCAGACGUAGAUUCAGGUUUGGGAACUCCUGAACCAGAUUUGCUGCUAGUUAAAUGUCUGCAAGUACAGAGCAGCUCCUUUGACUUGUUCCUGCAAAUUUAAGGUCUCCUGGGAGACCUUAGAGCAGCUUCCAGUACCCACAGGGGCAUACAAGAAAGCUGGAGAUGGACUUUUUACAAGGGCAUGUAGUGACAGGACAAGGGUGAAUGGUUUUAAACUGACAGAGAGGAGAUAGAGAUUAGGUAUUAGGAAAAAAUUCUUACUGUGAGGGUGCUGAGGCACUGGCACAGGGUGCCCAGAGAAGCUGUGGCUGCCUCAUCCCUGGCAGUGUUCAAGGCCAGGUUGGACGGGGCUUGGAGCAACCUGGUCUAGUGGAAGGUGUCCCUGCCCAUGACAGGGGGGUAGAACUGGAUGAGUUUUAAGGUCCCUUCCAACCCAAACCAUUCUGUGACUCUAUGAUUUAUACCAGAAUACCUAGUAGGAAUAUUUGGUAACUUGGGCAGUUUACCUUCCCUAUUUGAUUCACUCAGUAGUACUAAGAGUAACAUGCAUUACACAAACGUGGCCAUUCCACAACAUGCAUGUGAAAUGUCUAUAUAACAUUACAACUCCUCCUCAUACAGAAAGAACAGAAAAGCCUCUGCAUUUAAAAAUAUUAAAAUAGCAAAGACACUUAUAUGAAUAGUAGUACCCUCAUUCAUUGUAUUUUCAUUCAGUCACAAGAGAGUCAGGGAACACCUUACUCAUUCCUUUGGAUGGGCACAACACUGUUUCAGCCCAUGUAUUAUGAACACAUAGAUUCUACAGCAAGUGGAUAAACCUUCACAGAGAGCUACACUAUCAGGUAUUCUCAUUCUCUUUUCAAACAGUGGAUAAUUAUGGUAGCUUUCCACUUAAAAGUACCUGAUAAACUGCUCUUUCAAAAUGCUGUACUUCGGCUAUUGUAAGGUUUGGCUGAUAUUUAUAUAUUAGAAUAAAUGGUCUCUUUGUAAUGCUGUAGUGCCAGUGUUUUGGGCAUAUACCGUGACUUUCCUGUGCAAGGUCCUGUACAAAGGGAAGUUCAUUAAUAACCAAAUAUCCCAGAAAGUUUCUGGUUGAAAACAACGUUAUCAAGCACAGCUUUGACAGAAAAUGCUGAGAAAUCCUGCCUUUAUGAUCCAGUAUAAAAAAUAUAGUCUUACUAGUUUCUUUUCAUUAAAGCAGUUGUAUCAACAGAUCAGCUUGAUGCACAGGUUUUAUUUUUCAGUGAAAACCAUCAGUUAUUAUCGAAACAACAAAAAAGGCAUACUCUGCUUGCUUAAAAGUCUGUGUUACGAAUCAAAGGUAAUUAUAAAGAGACAUGCCAGAAUAAAAAAUAAAGACUAAAAGGGUAUGAUUCAUCUUACCAACCUUUAUGCUUCUAAGAUGUAGCCAGCUACUUUUGAGCUAAUUACUUUGCUUCACUCUAUAAUCAAGUCAGAGAAAAAUGUACUUUCAGGGGGCAAUUCAUCUAACCAAAUCUAGGCCAUAAUGAACUGCAUCCUAGCAGUUCCUCUUUCUUUCCAAUGAAUAUAAGGGAAGUCCAAACAACUAGCUCAGACAUGGAUGUCUCCAAAUCCAUUAGUAGCUAAAUCAGUGGUGGUGGCAUUCUGGCCUUGCAGUAAUGAGGACACAAUAUUUGAUCAGUUCAGUGGGAUUCUGUGUCUAGAUGUUUUACAUCAAUAAUAAAACCAAAUGACAGAUUAAGGCAAAUUAUCUGUUGACAAAGUCCAACUUUUGUCAAAGUCGGCACUUCAGAGAUGUGUCUGUGUGUGCACACGAGACCUUAGGAGGAAAAUUAUGGAAUAACCUGCCUAUAAGGCAUGUUUCGUAACCUUCACUAUUGGCACUUGUCAUAUUCCUUGAGUUUUCCACAGUAUAUUAGCGAAGUACUUUAUUUAUGCUCCAAUGCAUGUACAUACACACAUUAUGCAAUGUAUUAACUCAAUGAUGUCCCUAAACCCCCUCCAUACAGGCUGGGAAGUCACAUCAGCUGCCUGCACAGGCUUUCUAGUUACAGACAAACAUGGGUUCAUUUGUGAGGUAGAAAACCAGCCUGCAUGCAGAGGAGGGCUGGCAGGGAGAAGCAGCUCAGGGGGAACUCUCAGGCAUAUCGCAUAAUCCUUUUUGAAGUAUUUGAUCUUAAAUUUAAACGGCAGUCCUUCCUCACAGCGAUUUUAUUUUUAAACACAUCAUAAAACCUUAUGAUUCUAUGAAAGGGAAGGAGACUAUUACAGAAUCCCAAUAUUUAAUAGUUUUAAUAUUAAAAACUUAGUACUGUCAUUACAGUCUGCAUGUUCAAAGCAGUAUGCAAACAUUAAUUAUUCCUCACAGCAGCCCAGGGAGGUAGAAGAAGAUAUUUAUUAUAAAAUAGCCUCAGUCUGGAAGUUCAGAUUCAGAUGCAAAGUUCCACAACACUUUAAUAUGCUUUCAUUUCAUUUUGUAACUAAAUCCUAUUAAAAUACUUAGCUUAAAGGUCUGGUGGUUUACUAAAUACCACACAUCAAACCAGCAGCAGAACCAUAAUUAACUAUUCAGAGAUCCUGACAACAGCUACUGGACAAUGUUUCCCAUUUAAAAUAAUGUUUCUAGCUGACCAUGAGCUUGCUAGUCUAAUAUACAUCAUAUAAAAACUGCCUUCCAUUUCACUAUCGAAAGCCUAUACAAGGUGUGUUAGGCCUAUAGAAGAAAACGGGCUGCUUCUCCUAUGUUUACAGCAAUAUCCUAUUUUCAGCAAUGGCUGAAAAUUCAUCAGGUGUGAAUUCAGAGAUGUUACCUCUGUGAUCAUCCCACCUUACUGCUUUUGGAGGACAAACUGGCAUUCAAAGACUCAGAUGUGUCCUUAAUCACUGAAGCUCCGGCAGGAGGGUCAGUUUUUAUAUGACUGCCCUUUAAAUGCACAUCUAGUUUAGAAAUGAGUCAGAGUCCCCAUGUGCUCUGGAGAAGUUCCGAUCCGGAUUUAGAUCUGAACUUUAGAUCUUUUUUCUCUGUCUAUUUCUGAAAGUUAGAGUUGACUGUUCAGGCUCCUGGGAGCUAAAACAGCAUAAUGUUUUGUUUUAUUUCUUGCUAAUGCAUCAAUUGAUUUUUCUUUUUGGUAAAAAAAUUGAUUUGGUUAAUAUUCUGCAAUAAGGAUGGAUGCCCAUCUUCAGCCCGCUAGCACCUUUAUUUAUCUAGCUAACAACAAGGAUUAAGAAACCCACAAUCUGGAACUGAAUGAUGACAUUGCUUUGCAAAGUCACAGCAAUCAAUAAGAGCUUUGAGCAAGGACAUCUAGAUGCCUAUAUGCUUACUCGUUAUAAUAACCUUACGUUUGAUUCUGAAAGGGAACAAUCAUUGUAUUAAAAUUAUUCAUUGCACAAACUUUUUCAAAUCCUCACAAAAUUGAGUUUGUGUAAUUAGUAAUUUUCUAAAAUUAAUUUUAAAAAUCAGGUGGCUGUAAAAAAGGAGGUGUUUCAGAUCAUGGGUCCUGCUGAAUCAUUGUAGUUCAGCUCAUUGAAGCUGAAGAUUAAAGAGAAGACAAAUCAUUUUGUUAAGGAACAUGAGUAGGGAUCCAUCUAAACUGCCAAAAAUACAAUGUCAUUUGGGCUAAACCAGCAGUGAAAACACAACUUCAGUCUAGGUUUAACACAAGCUAUUAUUUCUUACUAAAACACAGGUGUGUCUGCAUUACUCUUUUAACAUGAAUUAACUAACUCAGGUCAGUCAACCCCAGCUAAGCCUGUUUCCUAAUGGGAGAGAGCUAACACCACUGUCUGUACUUGCCUAAUAACUUUGGAAUCUUUUAGCCAAUUUCAAGCGAGUUUGACAGAGCAGUAGGGUUCCUACUGACAUAAAGAUCUUGUGCAUGUAAUGAAAAUAAAUCUGCGUAGGAAGAAGAUCCUGUAAGUGCUUCUACCAAGAGAAAGGCUUGAUCUUGAUUUGUUAUCAGAGAACCUAUAUUAUUGAGAAGAGGUCAGGAAUGGAAAGACAUGAACGCUGCAGUGGGAUAACAGUCUCUUUUUACCACAGGGUUCCUUCAUCAGAGAACGAUUCAGCAACCAACCACAUAACACAAAUCCACAGAGCCAGCCCAGCUAUUUAGGACACCUAACUUACACCUAUGGUCCUCCCCCCAAAAAAUCAUGCUCCAACCAUUAGCUAUACAAAAGAUGGAUGGAAAGAGGGAAUACCAAAGGCCCUCCAUAGAUUUUUCAUCAAGCUUACAAGCCCAAAUUUGGAAAACAUAUGUGUAAAAUUCCACUGCUAAUGUUAGCCACUGCAAAGGUAGAAACUGUGUCUCAACCUGUCAUCUCUAGGCUAUACCUACAAUUCAUGGAGAAAGAGAGGUAUCUCCAAGAAUAAUUCAUCCCACAUAGAUUUAGAUGUUAGGACUAACCUCCUGGAAUCGUUCAUCAUUCUCAGCCAACUAACAUACGAAAGUUAAAAAAGUUAACAACAUUCAUUUUAAAUGCUAGACUGCCAGCUUUUUAUAGGGCCCUAGCGAGGAGGUAUUAACUUAUCCAUCCCUACCUAAGUGAAGUAGAUCAGGCUCCACUGGCUCCAGUCUUUACUGAAUUAUUUGUCUUUACAGUGUUGACACAUUCUGGGAAUCAGAAGAUGGAGAUCCUAAUCCAGGACAAAUCCCUUGAUUUCACUAGUCACUCUUCUUUUAUCCUGUAGAGUGGGACUCACCUCAGAAGUAUUAAGGGGAUAAAUUGAACAGGCGACUUUCAAAACACCAGCAACCAGCAAGUCUGCAAAGUAUUCCAUUAUCUAGGUACCUACAGAACUUAAAGGCAAUACAUAAGCUUGAAAAUAGCUACUUUCUGAGCAUAUGUUGGCUGCAGAAAGGGGGGCAGACAUUCAGAAGGUGUUUCUAGGACACUAUCCUGUUUCAUUUUAUGUAGACCAGAGGUUCUUCAGGACAGGGACUAUAUUUUGAUGCCUUUUAAUGCAAUCACCUUUCCAAUUAUGCCUUGUAAUAAAUCUCUGCUAUUAUAAACUUGUCAGUUUGGUUCCUAGGAUUCUUGGAGACAGCAUUUGCUGCAGGUAGAGCUGCUGUGGGUUAAGAACUUUUGAUCUCAAGUGCUUCUUUUUUUCCUUAUAAUAUAUUGUUUCUAUGUCAAAAUAUGCCAAUACUCUGCCAGGAGAAUGUCACAAAGGUUGGAAAUCCUGAUUUUUCUCUCAUUUAUAACCUAGAUGAUCUUUAAGGUCCCUUCCAACCCAAACCAUUCUGUGAUUCUACAGUUCUAUGAUCCCACACUUCUUACAUCUUCAUUUGCCAUCUCACUACCUCAAUCCACUGUUUUCUACUUCUUCAUCAUAACAACAUCUCUGAGUAAUCCAUAGUUAUACCUGGCCAUAAGCCUCCUUCCAAACAACCAUGUAGUAAGUGGCAUAUACCUCUGAUUUCCUUGAUUUGACUUCAAAAGCAAAGUCUUUUCUGGACAAAUUUGGCAUCUCAUCACUUUUACUUUUUAUCAGCUUUUCAUCAGCAAUUAUAACUGUUGUAACGGAAAUAAAGAGUGUUGAAUGUGA
Molecule: long non-coding RNA, 7793 nt
Organism: Strigops habroptila (Kakapo)
Lineage: Eukaryota; Metazoa; Chordata; Aves; Psittaciformes; Psittacidae
Exons: 2
Source: RefSeq, a predicted model, not a curated record